GGCGGCGUGCCUAACACAUGCAAGUCGAACGGAGAGGCUAAGAACAAGACUUCGGUCAAGUGAUUAGUUUCUAGUGGCGGACGGGUGAGUAACGCGUGAGCAAUCUGCCUUUCAGAGGGGGAUAACGUUCUGAAAAGAACGCUAAUACCGCAUAAGACCACGAGGUCGCAUGGCCACGGGGUAAAAGAUUUAUCGGGUGUAGGGUGAGCUCGCGUCCCAUUAGCUAGUUGGUGAGGUAAACGGCCCCACCAAGGCGACGAUGGGUAGCCGACCUGAGAGGGUGAUCGGCCACAUUGGAACUGAGACACGGUCCAGACUCCUACGGGAGGCAGCAGUGGGGAAUAUUGGGCAAUGGGCGCAAGCCUGACCCAGCAACGCCGCGUGAAGGAAGAAGGUUUUCGGAUUGUAAACUUCUGUCCUAAGUGACGAAUGAAAUGACGGUAGCUUAGGAGGAAGCCCCGGCUAACUACGUG
This 473-nucleotide ribosomal RNA is filed under the name uncultured bacterium. RNAcentral's name for it is "bacterial SSU rRNA". It matches the Rfam family "Bacterial small subunit ribosomal RNA", at positions 38 to 507 of the family's 1533-position model. The record is from RNAcentral.